ACUCAAUGUGUCCCUCUGUGCCAGAGUGUCGACACACCAGGUCCUUACACGAGCAUUCUGAUGCAUGGUGACCUGGCUUACCACAGCAGUAACAUUCCUGACUUCCCACACUUCUGUGGGUAGGUUCUUGUGACACCUUAUGCACCCUAGGAGAUGCACCGAUGGAUUGCGCCUCCUUUGUUGCCAGCUCCAUAGAGACCGCAAUGUCAACAGCCUUCUGUAAGAUCAGUCAGCAGCAAUCUUUAUGCUACAGAAUACUAAGUGAUUUUACAGUAACUGAUCUUGAAUAAGUUCAAGGAUCAUAAUCAACUGAACAGCAGAGAGAGAGAGAGAUGAAGAGUUCUUCCCUGAGCAACUGGAGGUCAGCACUGUUGUGGAAGACAAAGCUAGCGCAUGCUUCAAACAUUUCUGCCGGGAAAUCCCAAUUUGCAAAGCAUCUGCUCACUUGCGGAGACGCUCACAAGUUUUGGUAUACCUCAGUCCAAGCUUCCCAAAGUCAGGGAGGAGAGCUGCACCUGCCUGGUAAUCAGAGAGAAAAACUGCACUGCUGAAGCUGCUCCUGAUGAUGUUGACCUUUCUGAAGUGUGGGAGAUGUAACAGUUGCCUCAAUAAACAUUUUAUGGUGAUGCAUAAUUACAAGAGCAACCCUACAUGUUCAACAGUGAUGAUGUAACCUCGAAGCUGGAGGGAACCUCCAUGAAGGAGACUGUUUCAUCACUCACUUCCCUAGAUGCUCUGUAGCCUCUCAUAAUUUUUUGGAAACUAGACACAGCUGCAGAAGCAGGGUAUGUGCCUGCACUGAACAAGAAGGCAUGCAGUGCCCACUGCGAUCCCUUUCCUCUGAGCCUGUAUCCUGACAGUAUGAAAAAAUCUUUCUCAACAUUCAAAAAUGCCAGUAUGGGACACUUCCAAAUAUGAGAGCUACCACUCGCCAACAUUGGGGAUUGAAUAGAUGACCUCCAAAGUUACAAGCAUAAGUCUUUGUAGGUUGUCCUAAAAAGCCGAAGUCUCAAACUGAGAGCUGUGAGACUCCCAUCCUUUGUGGACUGGAUACUGGGGGACAUGAACAUGGGUACAUGGGGAGUGGAACACAUAGCACACUGAACUGUAGGUUACACAACUAAAUGUGUGACAAAUGACUGAAAUGUGAAUCUUGUGUGUUCUGCUUUUUCACACUGUAGUUUGUAGAUUAUCACAGUUUUUACGUACAAAAUGUGUAUUCGAGAGUACACUGAGUACAUCACAUGCACCAACCGCUGUCCCUCUCGAUCAGCAGCAGUGUUUGCCCUCCUUGACUUUCAGAUCCCUAUGUUAGAUUUAAGUGCUAGCCCCUUUGAAUAGCAGCCAUGGGAGGAGGGCUUGGCACACACUUUCACACUGUGUUACAAAACUAGUUACUAUUCAGCAGAGAAGUAUGGCUUAUAGUAGUGGCUAGAGAUAGCAUAACCCAAACUGGUUUAGUCACUCAGAAAGGCAGUGCAGUGGAUAAUAUUGGGGCGUGUCAUAUGAGAGACUGUGUUCUGUGCCUUCACCUAUUAGCAAUCUGAUAAUGAAUGAAAAACAGAAGCAGGGAGAAGGGACCAGGUUUCAUCAGCUGUUCCAAACUGCCUUCCCUGUUGGGUAGGGUGACCAGAUCACCACACUAAAAUAUCGGGACACAUUGGGGUGCCAUCAGCCCUACCCACAGUCCACUCCCACUCCUCCCAGCCUCUGCCCCCACUCUUCCCCAGGUCCCGCCCUCUCCCCGCUCACUCCCCUCAUGCCCUUCCUCAUCCCCCAGCUGCCACUGGGUUGCUGCAUCCCUCCUCAGUCCCCUACCCACCGCUCACCUCCCCACCCGCCCACCUCUUCACCCCCCCCCGCCUGCCACUCACCCCUAUGGCACCGACUCUCCCUCUGCUGGCUGGGUGCUUGCCCACCCCCCGCCUCUUUCUGCCCCUGCACCGCCCUCGCCUCGCCCCCAUUCCACCGCCUUCCCCCAAAUCCCCACCCCUGCCCUCCCUCUUCUCCACCUCCUACCCUGAGCGCACCACAUCCCCACUCCUCCCCUCUCCUGGAAAGCGCUAAGUGCUGCCAAACAGCAGGGAUGCAGCGUGCUGGGAGGAUAGGGGGAGAAGGAGGUGAGAAGGGGGGAGCUUGGCUGCAAUUUUUUCCCCAUGGGUGCUGCAGCCCUGGAGCACCCACGGGGUCAGCGCCUCCCUCCCGCUCACCUCCUUACCUGAAUAUCGGGACAAAUGGUGUCCUGAUUGGACAUUGAUCAGGAUGCGGGACAAACGGUUAAAUAUCAGGACACCUGGUCACCCUAGUGCUGGGGCUUAUAAACUUAGUGAGUUGCAUGGGAAUUCAAACAAAAGUUAGAAGAGAUGAGAUUUGACCUGUCAGUUGCCUCUUUCCCAGCUCAGGCAACUUUCCCCUAGGCUAGUAGGAUAUUUGCUGAAUCUCUCAGUCUCUCUGUUCCAGAUGUGAGUGACAGAACUCACAGCACAGCAGAUCUGUCAUCAAAUUAAAAUCCUUUGAGUUCAGUUUGGCACACAUUUUCUGUUAUGGACAAAAAGUUAUGAAAUGCUCUGUAGACAAACACUGCCCAUGCAUAACCAAUAUUCUAGGAAUUGGCACAUGAGGAGUAACAACGUGGAAAAAGGCUGGGUCCCAGAGAGUGUUAGAUUUCUUACACAAGGGUUACAAAGAAAAGCAGUCCAGUGAAUAAUCACCAAAGGGGAUAAUAUUUUAAUUCUUCUUUUUGAAUCAAUUUAUUUUUCAUCAAACCACCACAAAAAACUUCAGUACUGUAAUACUCAAAGCCUAUAGCCUGUGGUUUGUUUUUUGCCAUUUCAGUGACAUCUUUUACAAAAUUAAGUUUUAAAGAUGUAAAGAUAAAUUUAAAAAAAAAAAAGUAUA
Mauremys reevesii (Reeves's turtle) is the source of this 2898-nucleotide long non-coding RNA. RefSeq lists it as uncharacterized. The transcript is spliced from 4 exons. The record is from RefSeq and is a predicted model, not a curated record. Lineage: Eukaryota; Metazoa; Chordata; Testudines; Geoemydidae.